RNAcentral lists this long non-coding RNA (1226 nucleotides) under Macaca fascicularis (crab-eating macaque). Its description in RNAcentral is "lncRNA (ENSMFAG00000063253.1)". Lineage: Eukaryota; Metazoa; Chordata; Mammalia; Primates; Cercopithecidae. The record is from RNAcentral.
GGAGCAACCUCAACUCACUGCAACCUCCGCCUCCUGGGUUCAAGUGAUUCUCCUGCCUCAGCCUCUUGAGUAGCUGGGAUUACAGGUGCCCGCUACUAUGCCCAAUUAAUUUUUGUAUUUUUAGUAGAGACAGGGUUUUGCCAUGAUGGCCAGGCUGAUCUCAAACUCCAGAUCUCAAGUGAUCCACCUGCCUCGGCCUCCCGAAGUGCAGGGAUUACAGGUGUGAGCCACUGUGCCCGGCCAAGAGGGUUUUCUUGAAGAAACACAUCACUUCUUUAUUUCUGUGAAGAAUAUGGACAGAUACCCAGCCUGCUGUAGAAACUCUCUUAUUGUACCUGUUCAGAAACGGUCCAAGCAUUGGGUGGUGUGGCUUAUGUUGCAGAGCUCAACAGCAGCUGCCUUUUCCUUCAGCAACAGUGGAAGAAAAGGCCAAGACGUGCACAUUCCAAAUAUCUACUUGCAGAUUCUUGCGUGUGUUCCAAGGCUACACAAACAUUAUCCUUUUACAGGUGAGAAGAGAAACUGAGCCAACUGUCAACAAUUUGACCGUGCAGGCAGAGGCAGGAAGGAAGCGUUACUCACCUUUUCCUGGUGGUUGUGGGUUGAGUGAGCAAGUCUAGCUUGAAGGCCACAGGAAGUUGCUGCCUCCCUGCCGGCAUUACUCAGCAUUACACACCUAAUGCUAACCCCUGUCACAGGGUACACCGAUGUGGUCACUAUGGCCAGUGUUCCUGAUGCAGUGUCAGGAACAUUGUUAGAGAGCCAGGUCCUUCUCAAGGAAGAACAUUUUCUAGCAAAUAUGCAUUUGCAACAGAGAUUAAACUUGGAACUCUGAAAAGGAGUGUCAGUAUCUGUGUACAAAGUACUGUGGAUACACACUGAAGUCGAGGCUCAUAGAAGCCAAACAUUUUAGGAUCAUGGAAUCAUCAAGUAGGUCAGAGUUAUAUGCUGAGGGACUAUUGACCUGGAGCACAUUAAAUGCCACUCAGUUUUUUCAUCCGUUAGAAGGUGGCCAUGAAGACUGGAGGAUGGAGACGUAUUUAAAAGCACUGAGCACAAAGGAGGCACCCAAUCCAUGGUAGUAAUUAUUAUUCUACCCUUAUUAGCCCCCUAUGGAUUCAAUGUAUACCAUUCACUAGUUUGUUUAAAUAAUUUGUGAACCAGUUUAUAUUUUUCAAGUUGCCAUAUGUUUUAGUCAGGGCUCUCCAGAGAGUUAGAACCAAUAG